Molecule: ribosomal RNA, 253 nt
Filed under: uncultured bacterium
Lineage: Bacteria
Description: partial 16S ribosomal RNA
Rfam family: Bacterial small subunit ribosomal RNA
Source: RNAcentral
UACGGAGGAUCCAAGCGUUAUCCGGAAUCAUUGGGUUUAAAGGGUCCGUAGGCGGUUUAGUAAGUCAGUGAUGAAAGCCCAUCGCUCAACGGUGGAACGGCCAUUGAUACUGCUAGACUUGAAUUAUUAGGAAGUAACUAGAAUAUGUAGUGUAGCGGUGAAAUGCUUAGAGAUUACAUGGAAUACCAAUUGCGAAGGCAGGUUACUACUAAUGGAUUGACGCUGAUGGACGAAAGCGUGGGUAGCGAACAGG